RNAcentral lists this ribosomal RNA (475 nucleotides) under uncultured bacterium. Its description in RNAcentral is "partial 16S ribosomal RNA". It matches the Rfam family "Bacterial small subunit ribosomal RNA", at positions 28 to 523 of the family's 1533-position model. The record is from RNAcentral.
GGUGAACGCUGGCGGCGUGCUUAAGACAUGCAAGUCGAACGCAGUCUUCGGACUGAGUGGCGCACGGGUGAGUAACACAUAACUGACCUACCCCCAAGUCGCGGAUAACUGGCCGAAAGGUCAGCUAAUACGUGAUGUGAUGUCCCCUUUCUGGGGGGCCAUUAAAGGUUUACUGCUUGGGGAUGGGGUUGCGUUCCAUCAGCUAGUUGGCGGGGUCAAGGCCCACCAAGGCAACGACGGAUAGCCGGCCUGAGAGGGUGGCCGGCCACAGGGGCACUGAGACACGGGUCCCACUCCUACGGGAGGCAGCAGUUAGGAAUCUUCCACAAUGGGCGAAAGCCUGAUGGAGCGACGCCGCGUGAGGGAUGAAGGUUCUCGGAUCGUAAACCUCUGAAUCAGGGACGAAAGACGCGUAAGCGGGAUGACGGUACCUGAGUAAUAGCACCGGCUAACUCCGUGCCAGCAGCCGCAGUAA